Xiphophorus couchianus (Monterrey platyfish) is the source of this 273-nucleotide long non-coding RNA. RefSeq lists it as uncharacterized. The record is from RefSeq and is a predicted model, not a curated record. Lineage: Eukaryota; Metazoa; Chordata; Actinopteri; Cyprinodontiformes; Poeciliidae. The transcript has 2 exons.
AUACAAGGGCAGUGUUCUGAAGGCCAGGUUGUAGUUCCUAGCUUCGUCACCAGGUGGCGCGGCCGUUUGUGAGUAGCAGUUCUUUUUUCAUACCAAAACAUUGUUUGAGAAGCCGUGCAGGUCAGCGGAUGUGGUGUUUGAAGGUGGUUUUGUUAUUUUGUUCGAGUGUGCGUCCAUAUGAAUGAACCACACACAAAUGUCUACAAACUUCAAUCCACGCACAUCCUGCCUGUAAACCAGUUGUCACCGGCUGAUUAAAGAGUCAAACCAUCA